UACGUAGGGUCCGAGCGUUGUCCGGAAUCAUUGGGCGUCAAGCGCGUGUAGGCGGCCCGUUAAGUCGGAUGUGAAAGCCCGGAGCUCAACUCCGGAACUGCAUCCGAUACUGGCGGGCUUGAGGCAGGUAGAGGAGAGUGGAAUUCCCGGUGUAGCGGUGGAAUGCGCAGAUAUCGGGAGGAACACCAGCGGCGCAGGCGGCUCUCUGGGCCUGUCCUGACGCUGAGACGCGAAAGCAUGGGGAGCGAACAGG
This 253-nucleotide unclassified non-coding RNA is filed under the name uncultured Nitriliruptoraceae bacterium. RNAcentral's name for it is "contains 16S-23S intergenic spacer region". It matches the Rfam family "Bacterial small subunit ribosomal RNA", at positions 524 to 776 of the family's 1533-position model. Lineage: Bacteria; Bacillati; Actinomycetota; Nitriliruptoria; Nitriliruptorales; Nitriliruptoraceae. The record is from RNAcentral.